This 507-nucleotide unclassified non-coding RNA is filed under the name uncultured Entrophospora. RNAcentral describes it as "SSU rRNA". It matches the Rfam family "Eukaryotic small subunit ribosomal RNA", at positions 591 to 1092 of the family's 1831-position model. The record is from RNAcentral. Lineage: Eukaryota; Fungi; Glomeromycota; Glomeromycetes; Entrophosporales; Entrophosporaceae.
CCAAUAGCGUAUAUUAAAGUUGUUGCAGUUAAAAAGCUCGUAGUUGAAUUUCGGGAUUGGCGCAUCGGUCGUGCCUCACGGGGUAUGAACUGGUGCAGUCAAUUUCUCACCUUCUGGAGAACCGCGAUGUCCUUAAUUGGGUGCCGCGGGGAACCAGGACCUUUACUUUGAAAAAAUUAGAGUGUUUAAAGCAGGCAUUUUUGCUUGAAUACAUUAGCCUGGAAUAAUAAAAUAGGACGGCAUGGUUCUAUUUUGUUGGUUUCUAGGACCACCGUAAUGAUUAAUAGGGAUAGUUGGGGGCAUUAGUAUUCAAUUGUCAGAGGUGAAAUUCUUGGAUUUAUUGAAGACUAACUACUGCGAAAGCAUUUGCCAAGGAUGUUUUCAUUAAUCAAGAACGAAAGUUAGGGGAUCGAAGACGAUCAGAUACCGUCGUAGUCUUAACCAUAAACUAUGCCGACUAGGAAUCAGACGAUGUUAAUUUUUUAAUGACUCGUUUGGUACCUUACG